This 32-nucleotide non-coding RNA is filed under the name unclassified sequences. RNAcentral describes it as "L31-Firmicutes ribosomal protein leader". It matches the Rfam family "L31-Firmicutes ribosomal protein leader". The record is from RNAcentral.
CUAUGAUUUAUAUUAAAUCAUGGCGGAAGGAG